GGGUGAUGUGCCUUAAAGCAUCAGACACUUGGGCCUCGGGCAUCAGGAGCCAGCCACAGGGAUGUCUGGGGAAAUGGCGUUCCAUGAGAUGCAAGCACACAAGAAUGCACUUGGCACAUCUGGGGAACAGCAGGCAGCUGAUAUCACUGGGCCCACCCCGCACCAGGGAGGAUGGAAGCAGGUAGAGCAGAGCCGGAGCCAGGUGCAGGCCAUUGGAGAGAAGGUCUCCUUGGCCCAGGCCAAGAUUGAGAAGAUCAAGGGCAGCAAGAAGGCCAUCAAGGUGUUCUCCAGUGCCAAGUACCCUGCUCCAGAGCGCCUGCAGGAAUAUGGCUCCAUCUUCACGGGCGCCCAGGACCCUGGCCUGCAGAGACGCCCCCGCCACAGGAUCCAGAGCAAGCACCGCCCCCUGGACGAGCGGGCCCUGCAGGAGAAGCUGACUUUCCUGUGUGCGUGAGCACCAAGCCGGAGCCCGAGGACGAUGCAGAAGAGGGACUUGGGGGUCUUCCCAGCAACAUCAGCUCUGUCAGCUCCUUGCUGCUCUUCAACACCACCGAGAACCUGUAGAAGAAGUAUGUCUUCCUGGACCCCCUGGCUGGUGCUGUAACAAAGACCCAUGUGAUGCUGGGGGCAGAGACAGAGGAGAAGCUGUUUGAUGCCCCCUUGUCCAUCAGCAAGAGAGAGCAGCUGGAACAGCAGGUCCCAGAGAACUACUUCUAUGUGCCAGACCUGGGCCAGGUGCCUGAGAUUGAUGUUCCAUCCUACCUGCCUGACCUGCCCGGCAUUACCAACGACCUCAUGUACAUUGCUGACCUGGGCCCCGGCAUUGCCCCCUCUGCCCCUGGCACCAUUCCAGAACUGCCCACCUUCCACACUGAGGUAGCCGAGCCUCUCAAGGUAGACCUACAAGAUGGGGUACUAACACCACCCCCACCGCCCCCACCACCACCCCCAGCUCCUGAGGUGCAGGCCAGUGCACCCCCACUCCCACCCUCAACCGCGGACCCUGUAGGCCAAGGCGCCAGGCAGGACGACAGCAGCAGCAGCGAGUCUCCUUCAGUCCAGGGAGCUCCCAGGGAAGUGGUUGACCCCUCCGGUGGCCGGGCCACUCUGCUAGAGUCCAUCCGCCAAGCUGGGGGCAUCGGCAAGGCCAAGCUGCGCAGCAUGAAGGAGCGAAAGCUGGAGAAGAAGCAGCAGAAGGAGCAGGAGCAAGUGAGAGCCACGAGCCAAGGUGGGCACUUGAUGUCGGAUCUCUUCAACAAGCUGGUCAUGAGGCGCAAGGGCAUCUCUGGGAAAGGACCUGGGGCUGGUGAGGGGCCCGGAGGAGCCUUUGCCCGCGUGUCAGACUCCAUCCCUCCUCUGCCGCCACCGCAGCAGCCACAGGGCAGAGGAGGACGAGGACGACUGGGAAUCCUAGGGGGCUCCAUGACACCUUCCCCCCCAGACCCAGACUUGGGCCGUUGCUCUGACAUGGACACAGCCAGGACAAGCUGCUCAGACCUACUUCCUUGGGAGGGGGUGACGGAACCAGCACUGUGUGGAGACCAGCUUCAAGGAGCGGAAGGCUGGCUUGAGGCCACACAGCUGGGGCGGGGACUUCUGUCUGCCUGUGCUCCAUGGGGGGACGGCUCCACCCAGCCUGCGCCACUGUGUUCUUCUCUUAAGAGGCUUCCAGAGAAAACGGCACACCAAUCAAUAAAGAACUGAGCAGAAA
Homo sapiens (human) is the source of this 1711-nucleotide RNA transcript. It is a transcript of the gene named WASH complex subunit 1 pseudogene, with no coding region annotated. The record is from RefSeq and is marked validated. The transcript has 10 exons. NCBI's taxonomy places the organism in Eukaryota, Metazoa, Chordata, Mammalia, Primates, Hominidae.